RNAcentral lists this ribosomal RNA (253 nucleotides) under uncultured bacterium. RNAcentral's name for it is "partial 16S ribosomal RNA". It matches the Rfam family "Bacterial small subunit ribosomal RNA", at positions 524 to 776 of the family's 1533-position model. The record is from RNAcentral.
UACGUAGGGUGCAAGCGUUGUCCGGAAUUAUUGGGCGUAAAGAGCUCGUAGGCGGUUCGUCGCGUCGGCUGUGAAAUCCCGAGGCUCAACCUCGGGUCUGCAGUCGAUACGGGCGGACUGGAGUUCGGCAGGGGAGACUGGAAUUCCUGGUGUAGCGGUGAAAUGCGCAGAUAUCAGGAGGAACACCGGUGGCGAAGGCGGGUCUCUGGGCCGAUACUGACGCUGAGGAGCGAAAGCGUGGGGAGCGAACCGG